This 72-nucleotide transfer RNA is filed under the name archaeon GW2011_AR15. RNAcentral describes it as "tRNA-Val". It matches the Rfam family "tRNA". From Rfam's summary of the family: Transfer RNA (tRNA) molecules are approximately 80 nucleotides in length. RNAcentral also lists the same sequence under 1 other name. The record is from RNAcentral.
GGGCUCGUGGUCUAGAGGCAUGACAUCCGCUUGACUCGCGGAAGAUCACCAGUUCGAAUCUGGUCGGGCCCA